Molecule: long non-coding RNA, 449 nt
Filed under: Olea europaea (common olive)
Lineage: Eukaryota; Viridiplantae; Streptophyta; Magnoliopsida; Lamiales; Oleaceae
Description: long non-coding RNA (OEUR_LNC002246)
Source: RNAcentral
CUUGAUGGGGGUGUUAGUUCCCCAUCUUUUAUCUAUUUUUUUGGUACAAUUGUCGCCCAGAUGAGUAGAGUUCUGUGCUAGAGAGUGCACUAAAAUGUAGUAAACCAUGUAUUGGUUAUAAAUUUUUUGGUGGAAACAUUUAACUGAAUUGGUUUUUAAGUGUCAAAUGCACCAGUGGUUACCUAUUAAGAAGUGUUUAAUGCAUUAGAACUGGAUAAUAUAAUAGUAAUCGAUACAUAGGUCAGAUAAGAAAUAGUAAUGAUCAAAUUCGAGGAAUAAGAAUAGUAAUAAUAUUUGUAGAAGAGAGUUGAUAUGCUAAACAUAUUUUGUUUAUUAUGAGAAUUUGUAUGUGUCUCAUUGAUGAUCUACAUGGAUUAUGGUAAGCAGGUUAGUUUCAUUGGGGUUACGAUUAUAGUCUAGAUGUAAAAAACCAUGAUAGGUGUCUGAAC